This is a small nuclear RNA of Hyaena hyaena (striped hyena), 105 nucleotides long. The record is from RefSeq and is a predicted model, not a curated record. NCBI's taxonomy places the organism in Eukaryota, Metazoa, Chordata, Mammalia, Carnivora, Hyaenidae.
GUGUUCACUUUGACAGCCUUUAUACUAAAAUUGGAAUCACAGAGAAGAUUAGCAUGACCCCUGCACAAGGAUAACAUGCAAAUUCAUGAAGCAUUUUAUAUUUUU